GAUGAACGCUGGCGGCGUGCCUAAUACAUGCAAGUCGAACGAAGGUCUAGCUUGCUAGACCUUAGUGGCGAACGGGUGAGUAAUACAUAAAUAAUCUGCCCAUAUGACUGGGAUAACUAUUGGAAACGAUAGCUAAUACCGGAUAGGUUAAUUGGAGGCAUCUCUGAUUAAUUAAAGUAGGAUUUCUACACAAAUGGAUGAGUUUAUGGCGCAUUAGUUAGUUGGUGGGGUAACGGCCUACCAAGACGAUGAUGCGUAGCCGACCUGAGAGGGUGACCGGCCACACUGGGACUGAGACACGGCCCAGACUCCUACGGGAGGCAGCAGUAGGGAAUUUUCGGCAAUGGGCGCAAGCCUGACCGAGCAACGCCGCGUGAGUGAUUAAGGCCUUCGGGUUGUAAAGCUCUGUUGUAAGGGAAGAACAUUCAGGAUAGGAAAUGAUCUUGAACUGACGGUACCUUACCAGAAAGCCACGGCUAACUACGUG
RNAcentral lists this ribosomal RNA (487 nucleotides) under uncultured organism. RNAcentral describes it as "bacterial SSU rRNA". It matches the Rfam family "Bacterial small subunit ribosomal RNA", at positions 28 to 507 of the family's 1533-position model. The record is from RNAcentral.